RNAcentral lists this ribosomal RNA (455 nucleotides) under uncultured bacterium. Its description in RNAcentral is "bacterial SSU rRNA". It matches the Rfam family "Bacterial small subunit ribosomal RNA", at positions 1 to 507 of the family's 1533-position model. The record is from RNAcentral.
ACGUAGUUUGAUCAUGGCUCAAGAACGACGCUGGCGGCAUGCCUAACACAUGCAAGUCGAACGAAGGCUUCGGCCUUAGUGGCGCACGGGUGCGUAACGCGUGGGAACCUGCCCCUCGGUUCGGAAUAACAGUUAGAAAUGACUGCUAAUACCGGAUGAUGACUUCGGUCCAAAGAUUUAUCGCCGAGGGAUGGGCCCGCGUAGGAUUAGCUAGUUGGUGGGGUAAAGGCCUACCAAGGCGACGAUCCUUAGCUGGUCUGAGAGGAUGAUCAGCCACACUGGGACUGAGACACGGCCCAGACUCCUACGGGAGACAGCAGUGGGGAAUAUUGGACAAUGGGCGAAAGCCUGAUCCAGCAAUGCCGCGUGAGUGAUGAAGGCCUUAGGGUUGUAAAGCUCUUUUACCAGGGAUGAUAAUGACAGUACCUGGAGAAUAAGCUCCGGCUAACUCCGUG